This is a long non-coding RNA of Gossypium arboreum, 320 nucleotides long. RefSeq lists it as uncharacterized. NCBI's taxonomy places the organism in Eukaryota, Viridiplantae, Streptophyta, Magnoliopsida, Malvales, Malvaceae. The transcript has 2 exons. The record is from RefSeq and is a predicted model, not a curated record.
AAGAUAGUUGGGUUUGUAUAUUUGGUAAUCUAAAGUAAUAAACUGCAGUACGCGCGAUUUCGUACAUUUUGAUAAUUUGGGCUUAAUGGGCCAAAGAUCGGGUUCAUGGGCCAACGGGCCCAAUUCAGAAAUCCCCAACCAUAGUGGGCUUGGAGCUGUGAGGGAAUUCGGAGUGGUCACCCAUUCUGAAAGUUUGAUUUUCUUCUGGUGAACUGAACAUCCUUUUAUUUACGUUUGAAGUUUUGGGUUUUUAAAUGUAAUAAGGCCGCUUAAUUAUUUUUGAUGGUUUUAAUAUGUAUUAUUAAGAUAGGUAAUACUUA